AUGAUUCUGGAAUUCUCUGAUCUUGCUGGCUCGUUCUCCAGUCACAGUCCAAAGUGCUGUCAUCACUCCACGAGGAACUCUACAAAUCUCAAUGGCCUUGAGGACCAUAAGAAUUCAGCACAAGACCAGCAUCACAAACACAACAUUUUUACUCCUGGCUAUUCCUCCUCUCCAACAGAACUGGAAGAUAAGAGAAUGAAAAAAAAAACAAGUAUGAGAAAAAGGAGAGGAAGGAAUCUGUCUUGCUUACCAGCCUUGAAAGCUGGUAAGACUAGAUUGGCUUCUUAGUGCAUAUAAUUUUUAAAUGGUUUUAAUUGUCACCUGAAAUUUCCAGUCAGUCUGUAAAAUUACCUGGUUCAUCUAAAAGCAGGCAUGCAAGGUGCUCCCAGGGAUUUAUCACCAAAUGAAGUAAUUCUGUAUUGCUAUUGAAAGACUUCUUACACUAAAGAGGUGAAAUUAUUACAACCCCUCCAAUUUGCCGUUGUACCUGUCUUGUCACUAACCUCAAACCCUGCAUUUUGAGAAUGUUACUGGAUACAGAAAAAAUGAGCUUGAAAUUCUCUGAGAAAAAGGAGAUAACCUUUCAGAUGUGCUCAGUCAGAGAACCAACUCUAACAUUUGGAUGUAUCUUGUGAAUUUUGGCUUCUGAAGUAAUUGAACCAGAGAACAAAAAACUUCAGAAAUAGCUUUGCAAAAUACUGGAAUACUGGAAAUUCUCUGCAGCAUACUGAUGGAAACACAAAAUAUGAAUAUUCAAUCCAUGUUUACAUAGGUUUAAUUAAACAGAACAUAAAUUACACAUUUAACAGCAGCAUAUGAUGGCUCCAUGGCUGCUGGAGGGUGUGUGCAGUGCCCUUGUAUUGACCACAUGUGGUAAAACUUGGCAGAAAUGGCCACACUGGGGAAGGCUGUUAAAGAAGUGACUCACAGAAUUCCUAAGGAAAUACUAUUUAUUGAUUUGUCUCUGUCCAAUAGAUUACUUCUUUGAAGACAUGAAAUUUUUUCUCAGAAUUCAGAAUUUACUUUCCUGACAGUGGGAUUUACUACAAAAUAAUCAGCAUGCUUCUGCUUUUUUUUGUGUUUUAAAAGUGAUGGUUAAUGGCAUACUUAGGUAAUACUGCCUCCCUCAUCUGGCCUGAUUUCUAAACUUUGUGAGCAUAUUUAUAAAAAAAAAGAAUUUAGCUUUUUUCUUCCCCUUAUAAAGGCCAGUAGCUGCCUUGAAUAUGUGUAAGCAGGUUAGAUG
Molecule: long non-coding RNA, 1243 nt
Filed under: Cyanistes caeruleus (blue tit)
Lineage: Eukaryota; Metazoa; Chordata; Aves; Passeriformes; Paridae
Description: lncRNA (ENSCCEG00000014158.1)
Source: RNAcentral